GCCAGCUGCUGUGGGGGAUAGACCGCAGAAUCGCACUGUCGCCAGGAAAAGGCAAGUCUACGUGAUUGGAGACUCUUUACUGAGAAGAGCAGACAGGCCUGUAACUAGACCUGAUCGGGAGAACAGAAGGGUGUGCUGUCUGCCAGGGGCUAAGAUACAGGAUGUGGACCUGAGGCUGAAUACGAUCUUAGCGGGAGCGGGAAAGAAUCCGUUGAUUAUCCUUCAUGUGGGAACGAAUGAUACGGCUAGUUACUCGCUGGACUGUAUCAAGGAGGACUAUGCCAGACUGGGGAAGAGGCUCAAAGACAUCGAGGCUCAGGUGAUCUUCAGUGGGAUUCUGCCGGUUCCUAGAGCGGGGCGACGAAGGAGUGACAAGAUUAUGGCGAUCAACAGAUGGCUUAGGGAGUGGUGUUAUAAGGAGGGCUUUGGGAUGUACGGUCACUGGGAAGCGUUUACGGAUAGACGACUGUUCGCUCAGGAUGGACUUCAUCUAAGCAAGGAGGGAAAUAGAAUUCUAGGAUGGAGGCUCGCCGACCUCAUCAAGAGAGCUUUAAACUAGGAAGUUGGGGGAGAUGGUUGGGAGAUGUUCGGGAGAUCUCCACGCCGGAAUAUAACCUGGAGAGGAAAGUAAACAAAGUGAGAGGGGAUACCCUUGUGGUCCCAAGAUUUGAUCCAAGGAGGAAUAGUGGAGAAACCAGAGUAGCGGGUGAUGCUGGUGGUAAAAGGUCUCUGCACGACGGGGGAAAGAAUGUCACUGAUGCCAAACGCCGAAAAUUAAAAGGUCUGUACACUAAUGCGAGGAGUCUAGGUAACAAGAUGGAGGAACUGGAGUUACUGGUGCAGGAAGUGAAACCGGAUAUUAUAGGGAUAACUGAAACCUGGUGGAAUAGUACUCAUGACUGGAGCACGGGUAUUGAAGGCUAUGUGCUGUUUAGAAAAGACAGGAAGAAAGGCAAAGGUGGUGGAGUAGCCUUGUACAUCAAUGAUGAAAUUAACUGUAGCGAAAUAAGAAGCGAUGGAAUGGAUAAGACAGAGUCUGUCUGGGCGAAAAUCACACUGGGUAAAAAAGCAACUAGAGCUUCCCCUGAGAUAGUGCUUGGCGUGUGCUACAGACCGCCGGGAUCUGAUUGGGAUAUGGAUAGAGACCUCUUUAAUGUCUUUAAUGAAGUAAACACAAAGGGGAAAUGUGUGAUUAUGGGAGACUUCAACUUCCCGGAUAUAGACUGGAGGACGAGUACUUGCAAGAAUAAUAGGGGUCAGAUUUUUCUGGAUGUGAUAGCGGAUGGAUUUCUUCAUCAAGUAGUUGAAGUACCUACGAGAGGAGAUGCCAUUUUAGAUUUGGUGUUGGUGAGCAGUGAGGACCUCGUAGAAGAAAUGGUGGUAGGGGACAACCUUGGUUCGAGUGAUCAUGAGCUGAUUCAGUUCAAACUAGAUGGAAGGAUAAACAAAUGUAGAUCUGGGAUUAGGGUUUUUGACUUCUCGAGGGCUAAUUUUAAAGAGUUAAGGAAAUUAGUUAGGGAAGUGGAUUGGACGGAGGAAUUAGUGGAUUUGAAUGCGGAGGAGGCCUGGAAUUACUUUAAGUCGCAGCUGCGGAGACUGUCGGAAGCCUGCAUCCCGAGAAAGGGGAAAAAAACCAUGGGCAGGAGUCGUAGGCCAAACUGGAUGAGCAAACAACUCAGAGAGGGGAUUAGACAAAAGCAGACAGCUUACAGGGAGUGGAAGAAAGGCAGGAUCAGUAAGGAAAGCUACCUUGGUGAGGUCAGAACAUGUAGGGAUAAAGUGAGGAAGGCUAAAAGCCGCAUUGAACUGGACCUUGCAAAGGGAAUCAAAACCAAUAGUAAAAGGUUCUACAGCCACAUAAAUAAGAAGAAAACAAAGAAAGAAGAAGUGGGGCCGCUAUACACUGAGGAUGGAAUGGAGGUUAAGGAUAACCUAGGCAUGGCCCAACAUCUAAACAAGUACUUUGCUUCAGUUUUUAAUAAGACUAGUGAGGAACCUUGCGAUGAUGGAGGGAUGAUAAACGGGAAUGUGGAUAUGGAAGUGGAUAUUACCGCAACUGAGGUAGAGGCCGUACUUGAACAGCUCGAUGGGACGAAGUCGGAGGGCCCGGACAAUCUCCAUCCGAGGAUAUUAAAGGAACUGGCGCGUGAAAUUGCGAGCCCGUUAGCGAGAAUUUUUAAGCAAUCGAUAAACUCGGGGGUUGUGCCGUAUGACUGGAGGAUUGCUAAUGUAGUUCCUAUUUUUAAGAAAGGGAAUAAAAGUGAUCCGGGUAAUUAUAGGCCUGUUAGCUUGACGUCUGUAGUAUGCAAGGUCUUGGAAAAAAUUUUAAGGGAGAAAGUAGUUAAGGACAUAGAGGUCAAUGGUAAUUGGGACGAAUUGCAACACGGAUUUAGUAAAGGUAGAUCGUGUCAAACCAAUCUGAUCUCCUUCUUUGAGAAGGUGACGGAUUACUUAGAUAAAGGAAAUGCGGUAGAUAUAAUUUACCUAGAUUUCAGUAAGGCGUU
This 2504-nucleotide long non-coding RNA is filed under the name Gopherus agassizii (Agassiz's desert tortoise). Its description in RNAcentral is "lncRNA (ENSGAGG00000009000.1)". Lineage: Eukaryota; Metazoa; Chordata; Testudines; Testudinidae. The record is from RNAcentral.